UUUAUGAGUAAUGCUUCUAUACUUUUUUUUUUUGGUUACCAUUCAUUCACGCGUAUUCAACGACUCAGAUUUAGUUUUUUUAAAAUUGUGACCUGCAAUAGCAGGUCACUUUGGGAGAGGUACCGGUUACCAGGUACCUCAAAAAAGGAUAUUUUUGUCUUUUAAUACAUGGGCAAUUUAGUCAUUUUACAUCUACUAUAUUUUCAAAAUUUUUAUUUUUUCUUUGUUUCCUUUUUCUCUCUCUAUCUUUCCUUUCAUAAUUUGGCAUUUCAUAUAAAAAAAAUUUCAAAUGAUUUGACAAUAUGAUCAUUGAAUUUAAACUUUAAAUAGUAAUAUGA
Molecule: long non-coding RNA, 338 nt
Filed under: Ananas comosus (pineapple)
Lineage: Eukaryota; Viridiplantae; Streptophyta; Magnoliopsida; Poales; Bromeliaceae
Description: long non-coding RNA (ACOM_LNC023868)
Source: RNAcentral